CUACGGGACGCACCAGUGGGGAAUUUUGCGCAAUGGGGGAAACCCUGACGCAGCAAUACCGCGUGAGUGAAGAAGGCCUUUGGGUCGUAAAGCUCUUUUCUUGGGGAAGAUAGUGACGGUACCCAAGGAAUAAGCACCGGCUAACUCCGUGCCAGCAGCCGCGGUAAUACGGAGGGUGCAAGCGUUGUUCGGAUUUACUGGGCGUAAAGGGCACGUAGGCGGCACAGCAAGUUAAGGGUGAAAUCCCGGGGCUCAACUCCGGAACUGCUCUUAAAACUGCUGAGCUAGAGAUAGUCAGAGGCGGGUGGAAUUCCAGGUGUAGAGGUGACAUUCGUAGAUAUCUGGAGGAACACCGGUGGCGAAGGCGGCCCGCUGGGGCUAUUCUGACGCUAAGGUGCGAAAGCGUGGGGAGCAAACGGGAUUAGAUACCCGAGUAGUC
RNAcentral lists this ribosomal RNA (439 nucleotides) under uncultured bacterium. Its description in RNAcentral is "partial 16S ribosomal RNA". It matches the Rfam family "Bacterial small subunit ribosomal RNA", at positions 339 to 795 of the family's 1533-position model. The record is from RNAcentral.